This is a long non-coding RNA of Oncorhynchus tshawytscha (Chinook salmon), 336 nucleotides long. The record is from Ensembl. Lineage: Eukaryota; Metazoa; Chordata; Actinopteri; Salmoniformes; Salmonidae.
GGCAGGGUAGGCUGUAGCAGGCUGGGAGGGUGGCAGGUCAGGGUAGGCUGGAGCAGGCUGGGAGGUUGGCAGGUCAGGGUAGGCUGGAGCAGGCUGGGAGGUUGGCAGGUCAGGGUAGGCUGUAGCAGGCUGGGAGGUUGGCGGGUCAGAGUAGGAUGUGACAGGCUGGGAGGUUGGCAGGUCAGGGUAGGCUGUAGCAGGCUGGGAGGUUGGCAGGUCAGUGUGGAUGCUAAGAGGCUGAGAGAGCUUGUGAGGCAGAUAUGAAGGCUACCCUGGGCUCAGGGGUAUCUGGGCUUCUACCCGGCUGAUGGUGCUGUUGGUGCUGCUCUGUUGGUG